RNAcentral lists this ribosomal RNA (767 nucleotides) under uncultured bacterium. RNAcentral's name for it is "bacterial SSU rRNA". It matches the Rfam family "Bacterial small subunit ribosomal RNA", at positions 28 to 806 of the family's 1533-position model. The record is from RNAcentral.
GAGGAACGCUGGCGGCGCGCCUAACACAUGCAAGUCGAACGGAGUCAAGAGGAGCUUGCUUUUCUUGACUUAGUGGCGAACGGGUGAGUAACGCGUGAGUAACCUGCCCUGGAGUGGGGGACAACAGUUGGAAACGACUGCUAAUACCGCAUAAGCCCACGGAUCCGCAUGGAUCUGCGGGAAAAGGAUUUAUUCGCUUCAGGAUGGACUCGCGUCCAAUUAGCUAGUUGGUGAGGUAACGGCCCACCAAGGCGACGAUUGGUAGCCGGACUGAGAGGUUGAACGGCCACAUUGGGACUGAGACACGGCCCAGACUCCUACGGGAGGCAGCAGUGGGGGAUAUUGCACAAUGGGGGAAACCCUGAUGCAGCGACGCCGCGUGGAGGAAGAAGGUUUUCGGAUUGUAAACUCCUGUCGUUAGGGACGAUAAUGACGGUACCUAACAAGAAAGCACCGGCUAACUACGUGCCAGCAGCCGCGGUAAAACGUAGGGUGCAAGCGUUGUCCGGAAUUACUGGGUGUAAAGGGAGCGCAGGCGGACCGGCAAGUUGGAAGUGAAAACUAUGGGCUCAACCCAUAAAUUGCUUUCAAAACUGCUGGCCUUGAGUAGUGCAGAGGUAGGUGGAAUUCCCGGUGUAGCGGUGGAAUGCGUAGAUAUCGGGAGGAACACCAGUGGCGAAGGCGACCUACUGGGCACCAACUGACGCUGAGGCUCGAAAGCAUGGGUAGCAAACAAGAUUAGAUACCCUGGUAGUCCAUGCCGUAAA